RNAcentral lists this transfer RNA (74 nucleotides) under Schistosoma mansoni. The record is from RNAcentral. Lineage: Eukaryota; Metazoa; Platyhelminthes; Trematoda; Strigeidida; Schistosomatidae.
GUUCAGUGGUCUAGAGGUUAAGAGUUCGUGCGCAAGACCGAAAGUUCUGGGUUCGAGUCCCACAUGCAGAAUUG